Molecule: transfer RNA, 72 nt
Organism: Camelus ferus (Wild Bactrian camel)
Lineage: Eukaryota; Metazoa; Chordata; Mammalia; Artiodactyla; Camelidae
Rfam family: tRNA
About the family: Transfer RNA (tRNA) molecules are approximately 80 nucleotides in length. Their secondary structure includes four short double-helical elements and three loops (D, anti-codon, and T loops).
Source: Rfam
GAGGGUAUAGCUCAGUGGUAGAGUACAUGCUUAGCAUGCACGAGGUCACGGGUUCAAUUCCCAGUACCUCUA